This 485-nucleotide ribosomal RNA is filed under the name uncultured bacterium. Its description in RNAcentral is "partial 16S ribosomal RNA". It matches the Rfam family "Bacterial small subunit ribosomal RNA", at positions 28 to 508 of the family's 1533-position model. The record is from RNAcentral.
AUUGAACGCUGGCGGCAUGCUUUACACAUGCAAGUCGAACGGCAGCGCGGGCUUCGGCCUGGCGGCGAGUGGCGAACGGGUGAGUAAUGCAUCGGAACGUGCCCAGUAGUGGGGGAUAGCCCGGCGAAAGCCGGAUUAAUACCGCAUACGACCUGAGGGUGAAAGCGGGGGACCGAAAGGCCUCGCGCUAUUGGAGCGGCCGAUGUCGGAUUAGCUAGUUGGUGGGGUAAAGGCUUACCAAGGCGACGAUCCGUAGCUGGUCUGAGAGGACGACCAGCCACACUGGGACUGAGACACGGCCCAGACUCCUACGGGAGGCAGCAGUGGGGAAGUUUGGACAAUGGGGGCAACCCUGAUCCAGCCAUGCCGCGUGCGGGAAGAAGGCCUUCGGGUUGUAAACCGCUUUUGUUCGGGAAGAAAUCCUCUGGGCUAAUACCCCGGGGGGAUGACGGUACCGGAAGAAUAAGCACCGGCUAACUACGUGC